AGGAACGACCAUACUACGAUGUCAGCACCGCUUCCCGUCUGCUCAGCGAAGUUAAGCAUCGUCAGGCCCGGCUACUACUACGGUGGGGGACCACGUUGGAAUCCCGGGUGUUGUUCUUU
This 119-nucleotide ribosomal RNA is filed under the name Fistulifera solaris. The record is from RNAcentral. Lineage: Eukaryota; Bacillariophyta; Bacillariophyceae; Naviculales; Stauroneidaceae.